This is a long non-coding RNA of Pezoporus occidentalis (night parrot), 1339 nucleotides long. RefSeq lists it as uncharacterized. Lineage: Eukaryota; Metazoa; Chordata; Aves; Psittaciformes; Psittacidae. The record is from RefSeq and is a predicted model, not a curated record. The transcript has 4 exons.
GUUGGGUUGUUUUGCAGUGAUUGUAAUUUAUCCUCCAUGGCACCAUGAAAGCUCCUGGUAGUGCAACCUGGAUACCAGCAUCAGACAUGUAGGUUUUGAAUGCUUAUGGGUAUGUGAAUGGAGACCAUUGUACAUAAGGACAUGCAGUAGUGCCCAGGUACUCCUUGGCUAUAAAGGAACAUUUGUGCAGUGGCAGCUGAACCAUGGAGAUGGUAGAAGCCUCCUGCUUUGGGCAGAGAAGUGCAGGAUGUCUGUCUGUCUCUUUGACUACUGACUGCAAGGACCUGAAGUGGGCAGAGCCUUCUCCAGCCCCACAAGCAGCAAUUACACAGUGCUUGGAACACCUGUACUGAAGAGAGAGAAAAUUUUCCUCAGUUUCUGUCUUUGUGUCUUCUUUUCACUAAUGGUGGAGAGGAUCCUCUUUGAAGCAGCAUCAGAUAUGAAAAGUAAUGUCAGCAUGAAAAACUAGUAUCGGCUUGUCCUUCUGGUUAAGAAUCAUGCAACAUCCAUAGACUCUUAUCAAGAGAGGAAUAAUAUGGUGCAAGAACUUACGUCAGCAAGGAUAAAUAAUUUAAAGAAAAGGUGUGAACAUGGAAGGAAUAACCUGAUGACUUGAAGCAGUUUUGAUCUUGCAUGAAGGCAGAGCUGUAAUACAUAAUGUACAGUGAACCUGGGCUGGGUUCAUGGCAUAUUCCAGAGGAUAUUUUAGAAGGCAUUUUGUCUCACUACCUCUUGUUUGAUGAUUUGACCAAUAAUAUUUUCAACAGCUUCUGGAUGGUGAGGCUGCUUCUAUCUCUUCCUUUGUACCCUAUGUUAAAGACCCUGCCCCUUGCUUACAACUGGGGAGGCAGGAGAAAAAUACGUUAUAAGAAACCAUUGUGCAAAAAGCAUUAGGAAGAAGUAACAGGUUGUAACAGUAUGGAUCAUACUUUGGCAUAGCCAGAAACCUCGUUCAUCAUUAGGGAAUCACUGACCUUUCGUAGUGGUGAAUUCUCCCUGCAGGAGAUGGGCCUUCAUCUAUUGGUUAAAACUCAUGUUGUAACCUAAAAACUUUAACAUUAAAUAACUGAAAUACACUUACAGUACUGGAAUGACUGAAUCACAAACAAACAAAUGAGCAAAGAAAGACUCCAAAGCUUUCCAGAUGGCUGUUUCCCACUGAUGUACAUUUUUUUCUCCGGAGCUUCAAAACAUGUUUAAAUUAUGAAAUUUGGUGUGAUUACAAGAACUUGGCAAGCAGUCAUUAAGGUUUUAGUCUGAGGAGUGUUACUACAGAGUUAGAGAACUGCAGAUGAGCAAUGGCGGUGUCCUUGUGUGUGCACAGCAUUGUCAGCGUGGG